AUGCUUGCAUGACAGGGGAGAUAACAUGUUCACAAAGGUAGUUUUCCCAAUGUGAGGCUUACCUACUACAUUCUAUAUAUAUGCUUAUCCCUGCAAUUUCCCCAAAUCUGGGAAGCACAACUGCAUAAUCUCUGGUACAAGGGACUGUACUCAUGCUCUCUCCAAC
This 166-nucleotide small nuclear RNA is filed under the name Mus caroli (Ryukyu mouse). RNAcentral describes it as "predicted gene, 24030 (MGP_CAROLIEiJ_G0034698.1)". It matches the Rfam family "U1 spliceosomal RNA". Rfam says of the family: U1 is a small nuclear RNA (snRNA) component of the spliceosome (involved in pre-mRNA splicing). Lineage: Eukaryota; Metazoa; Chordata; Mammalia; Rodentia; Muridae. The record is from RNAcentral.